GGAUAAUGUCUGCUUUAUUCCUGAAUUCUCAGGACUUUUCACAGGCUGGCACACAGUAGGUCUGUGUUGAAUGAACAAGUCAAUGAGCCUCUUCUAUAGCUUCAGACCCUUCAAUGUGUCAUCUAAUGACUGUGUUUCCUUGAUGUGCCUUUGGCUUGUUCCUUGCUCUGCAUCUCUGCCAGCCCUACCUAGUCCAGAGACAUCAUCUCCUGCCUCUGGAUCACCCCAGAUUUCUGUUUCUAAGGAAACGGAACAAAUUUCAUAAUGUCCAUCGAGAUACUAUCUUUGCUUCUAGCCACAGGGACGUAAGUAACUAGACAGCAACAUUGACUGCUUUGAAGACAUUGCUCUUUCUUUAUUUUCUGUGAGGAGCCGCACUCACAUUCGCCAUUACAAGAUGGCGCUGACAUCCGCUGCCGGAUCAAGUAAACAACGUUGGAAGUUCACAGAGAAAGUUAAAAGAGAAGGAAGGGAGCUGCAGAUGGAUGCCGAGGGACUCACCCACGUGAUGAGGAGGUGGAUACUACAAAGAAAAUACACAAGAUCAAAGGUGUAGAAGUGGCGGAGGGACAUUUCCACAUGUCAGAUAAGGAUUUUCAUAAAACAUAUACUUGAAGUGACUUCUCAAGGCCACAUGGGCAAGCAAAGGGAGCCUGCGCUCUAUCCACGGCACUGCACCAUGCCCCAUACCAGAGUACGUGGAAGCCGAGAUCCAUGGGGUCCUAGGAGCCUACGAGAGACGGAGCCUUCGGUGCUUCUGAACUCUCCUCGGAAGCAGAGUCAACACAGUGCCUAGCAUGCACAGUACACAGUUAAUGUUUGCUGAAUGAAUGAACAAGAAAGGAAACCACAACCCCAUCUGAUGUUCCGUGGUGAAUUGACUGGAGACACACAGUUUGAGGGCAGCACAUGAAUAAUUUUGCAUCUAGGAUCAGCACAGCUGCUUUCAGGCAAUGAAACUCUGAGGUUUCCUAUCCACUCCAGAGCCAGAAAGCCAAAACUGCCUUGACAUCAGAAGAACUCGGAGCAAGGAAAUACAGGACUACCCUUUAUGUAUAAAGUGUGUAGAUC
RNAcentral lists this long non-coding RNA (1071 nucleotides) under Cricetulus griseus (Chinese hamster). RNAcentral describes it as "lncRNA (ENSCGRG00015033527.1)". Lineage: Eukaryota; Metazoa; Chordata; Mammalia; Rodentia; Cricetidae. The record is from RNAcentral.